GAUGGAAGUGUCAAAUGCAAUCAUUUUACAACUGGAUUUUCACAGGUCAUAGGAGCGAAGGUGCCCUUCAUCACACCGUGCUGUGACAUGUACAGCAUUGGAAGACCUGUGACACCAUGGCCCUCUGGUUGUUACUGCCUCCUGAAUGGUAUGAAGCCUCAAGCAUUCACUCUGCUUAGAAACUCAUCUCAGAUUCACCACUGAAUUUCCAAGGAGCCAACCUGUAGGCAGGCAUGAGGCACGUCAUUUAUCACUGAAGAUGAUGUACUGUUUUCUAAAGCCUUUCUAUUAUUUUAAAUCCCGUGGGAGUCAUAUAGGAAUGCUCUAAACUUGACCAAAACCACAAAGUAUAACAAAUCCAGGAUUUAGCUUUUAGCCUCAUCACCCAUCCCUCUCUUCAGCUCUUCCCACUCCACAGACUUUCAAUUUUUUUACUUUAACAAAGACAUGGGAUCACUGCUGUUGGGAUACUGCAGAGCAGUAACCAAAAGCAAUAUAAGCCCAGCAAA
Molecule: long non-coding RNA, 509 nt
Organism: Mauremys mutica (yellowpond turtle)
Lineage: Eukaryota; Metazoa; Chordata; Testudines; Geoemydidae
Exons: 3
Source: RefSeq, a predicted model, not a curated record